UUUUGUGGUAACAGAACGAGAGACAGCAAGGCUUCCCGUUCGCUCAGCCCUAUUUGAGCAACGUACCGGCGGAUUAGUAGUUAGGUGGGUGACCACUAGCGAAUACCCGCUGUUGUAUGUU
Molecule: ribosomal RNA, 121 nt
Organism: Ascochyta rabiei
Lineage: Eukaryota; Fungi; Ascomycota; Dothideomycetes; Pleosporales; Didymellaceae
Source: Rfam